AAUCAACGCUGGCGGCGUGCCUCAGACAUGCAAGUCGAACGAUUAAGACUCCCUUCGGGGAGUGCAUAAAGUGGCGCACGGGUGAGUAACACGUAAGUAAUCUACCCUCGGGUGGGGAAUAACGUCCGGAAACGGACGCUAAUACCGCAUAAUGCAGCGGCACCGCAAGGUGACAGUUGUUAAAGAUUUAUUGCCUGGGGAGGAGCUUGCGGCAGAUUAGCUUGUUGGUAAGGAACGGCUUACCAAGGCUACGAUCUGUAUCCGGUCUAAGAGGACGGUCGGACACACUGACACUG
RNAcentral lists this ribosomal RNA (296 nucleotides) under uncultured bacterium. RNAcentral describes it as "partial 16S ribosomal RNA". It matches the Rfam family "Bacterial small subunit ribosomal RNA", at positions 32 to 321 of the family's 1533-position model. The record is from RNAcentral.